RNAcentral lists this ribosomal RNA (354 nucleotides) under uncultured bacterium. Its description in RNAcentral is "bacterial SSU rRNA". It matches the Rfam family "Bacterial small subunit ribosomal RNA", at positions 917 to 1271 of the family's 1533-position model. The record is from RNAcentral.
GGGCCCGCACAAGCGGCGGAGCAUGCGGAUUAAUUCGAUGCAACGCGAAGAACCUUACCAAGGCUUGACAUAUAGAGGAAAAGGUGCAGAAAUGCACUCCCCCGCAAGGUCUCUAUACAGGUGGUGCAUGGUUGUCGUCAGCUCGUGUCGUGAGAUGUUGGGUUAAGUCCCGCAACGAGCGCAACCCUCGUCCUAUGUUGCCAGCACGUAAUGGUGGGAACUCUAACAAGACUGCCGGUGCAAACCGUGAGGAAGGUGGGGACGACGUCAAAUCAUCACGGCCCUUACGUCCUGGGCCACACACGUGGCUACAAUGGUAGGUACAGAGGGAAGCCACCCCGCGAGGGGAGCGGA